UCCAGGGUAGCCUAGUGGACAUUGCAUCUGCCAGGUAAGCGGAACCCGGGUUCGAAUCCUAUCCCUGGAC
Non-coding RNA from Cordylochernes scorpioides, 70 nucleotides. The record is from the annotation of a GenBank genome assembly. Lineage: Eukaryota; Metazoa; Arthropoda; Arachnida; Pseudoscorpiones; Chernetidae.